This 434-nucleotide ribosomal RNA is filed under the name uncultured Lachnospiraceae bacterium. RNAcentral's name for it is "bacterial SSU rRNA". It matches the Rfam family "Bacterial small subunit ribosomal RNA", at positions 341 to 792 of the family's 1533-position model. The record is from RNAcentral. Lineage: Bacteria; Bacillati; Bacillota; Clostridia; Lachnospirales; Lachnospiraceae.
ACGGGAGGCAGCAGUGGGGGAUAUUGCACAAUGGGGGAAACCCUGAUGCAGCGACGCCGCGUGAGUGAAGAAGUAUUUCGGUAUGUAAAGCUCUUUAAGUUGGGAAGAUAAUGACGGUACCAACAAAAUAAGCCCCGGCUAACUACGUGCCAGCAGCCGCGGUAAUACGUAGGGGGCAAGCGUUAUCCGGAUUUACUGGGUGUAAAGGGAGCGUAGACGGCAUAGCAAGUCUGAAGUGAAAUCAUAGGGCUCAACCCUGUAAUUGCUUUGGAAACUGUUAAGCUCGAGUACCGGAGGGGCAGGCGGAAUUCCUGGUGUAGCGGUGAAAUGCGUAGAUAUCAGGAAGAACACCGGUGGCGAAGGCGGCCUGCUGGACGGUAACUGACGUUGAGGCUCGAAAGCGUGGGGAGCAAACAGGAUUAGAUACCCUGGUA